Molecule: ribosomal RNA, 1313 nt
Filed under: metagenome
Description: bacterial LSU rRNA
Rfam family: Bacterial large subunit ribosomal RNA
Source: RNAcentral
GGAUUGGGAGGGUUCUACGGAACCCGUUUUGGUGAAUCUAGUGCCGAGAAAAGCCUUCUAUGUGUUGAAUUUCUAGUACCCGUACCCCAAACCGACACAGGUGGGUGGGUAGAGCAUACCUAGGGGCGCGUGAUAACUCUCUCUAAGGAACUCGGCAAAAUGGCCCUGUAACUUCGGGAUAAGGGGUGCCUGCGUGAGCAGGCCGCAGUGAAAUGGCUCUGGCGACUGUUUACCAAAAACACAGGUCUCUGCUAAGUCGUAAGACGAUGUAUAGGGGCUGACUCCUGCCCAGUGCCGGAAGGUUAAGGAAGUUGGUUAGCGCAAGCGAAGCUGGCGACCGAAGCCCCGGUGAACGGCGGCCGUAACUAUAACGGUCCUAAGGUAGCGAAAUUCCUUGUCGGGUAAGUUCCGACCCGCACGAAAGGAGUAACGAUCAGAGCGCUGUCUCGGAGAGAGACACGGCGAAAUAGGAUUGUCCGUGAAGAUACGGACUACCUGCACCCGGACAGAAAGACCCUAUGAAGCUUUACUGUAACUUGGAAUUGUGUUCGGACUUUGUCUGCGCAGAAUAGGUGGGAGGCUAUGAAACGUUCCUCGCGGGGAACUGGAGCCAUCGUUGAGAUACCACUCUGGCAGAGUCUGGAUUCUAACCUACGGGGACAGUUCCAGGUGGGCAGUUUGACUGGGGCGGUCGCCUCCUAAAAUGUAACGGAGGCGCGCAAAGGUUCCCUCAGGCUGGUUGGAAAUCAGCCAUAGAGUGUAAAAGCAUAAGGGAGCUUGACUGUGAGACCUACAAGUCGAGCAGGGACGAAAGUCGGCUUUAGUGAUCCGACGGCACUGAGUGGAAGGGCCGUCGCUCAACGGAUAAAAGUUACUCUAGGAUAACAGGCUGAUCUCCCCCAAGAGUUCACAUCGACGGGGAGGUUUGGCACCUCGAUGUCGGCUCGUCGCAACCUGGGGCGGUAGUACGUCCCAAGGGUUGGGCUGUUCGCCCAUUAAAGCGGCACGUGAGCUGGGUUCAGAACGUCGUGAGACAGUUCGGUCCAUAUCCGGUGUAGGCGUAGGAGCAUUGAAAGGAUCUCUCCUUAGUACGAGAGGACCGGGAGGGACGUACCUCUGGUGUACCUGUUAUCGUGCCAACGGUAAACGCAGGGUAGCCAUGUACGGAGUGGAUAACCGCUGAAAGCAUCUAAGUGGGAAGCCCACCUUAAGAUGAGUGCUCCCUUGAGGCCACGGGAAGACGACCCGUUUGAUAGGCGCUAGGUGGAAGUGCAGUAAUGCAUGCAGCCGAGGCGUACUAAUAGGCCGAUGGC